This 232-nucleotide ribosomal RNA is filed under the name uncultured Pasteurellales bacterium. RNAcentral describes it as "partial 16S ribosomal RNA". It matches the Rfam family "Bacterial small subunit ribosomal RNA", at positions 99 to 334 of the family's 1533-position model. The record is from RNAcentral. Lineage: Bacteria; Pseudomonadati; Pseudomonadota; Gammaproteobacteria; Pasteurellales.
CGGACGGGUGAGUAAUGCUUGGGAAUCUGGCUUAUGGAGGGGGAUAACUACGGGAAACUGUAGCUAAUACCGCGUAGUAUCGGAAUAUGAAAGUGCGGGACCGUAAGGCCGCAUGCCAUGAGAUGAGCCCAAGUGGGAUUAGGUAGUUGGUGGGGUAAAGGCCUACCAAGCCUGCGAUCUCUAGCUGGUCUGAGAGGAUGGCCAGCCACACUGGAACUGAGACACGGUCCAG